UCCGUCCUCCGGGGCGGCUGAUGCCCAUCCCGGGCAGCAUCCAAGCCGAGUGUAUGGCGCGCCCCCAGCCCCGGGAUUGGGGGGGGACCCGGGCCCCCCCCCAGGGCCUGCGCCCAUCCUCGGGGCCCGGGAUUCCCUCCGGGACGGGGCGGGACAGGAACGGACCCGACAGGACCGGGGACCGCUAAAUAGGCCUGAAAAAUCGAGAGAGUUUCCUGCUUUCUUCAUCAUUCCCCCAUCUCCUACACAUGGAUGGUAGCUGACUCCACAGAUAUUUAUAGCUCAGAAACCCAGGAGGCUGAAAACUUUUCAUCCUCAUCCCGGGUUCCAGAGAAAGGAGCUGAGGAUGCCUCAACAAUCAAUCCUGCUAAGUCUUGCUAAGGUUUGUGAUUUGAAAUCUCCAGAGAUUGAAACAGCUCUGGAAGAGAGAAGGAGAGAGAGAGAGUUCUUUUAACGGUGAAGAGACCAUAGAGCUCCCUAAACUUAGACCCUCCAAAAGAGCCAACAGGCAAGACAAGAUAAUGGCAGCUGCCCAAAGGAUCAUGGGAAAACUCUCCCCCUUUGCCAUCCUGAGGACGGAUUCAUCCCAGUGAUGGCCUGCAACAGCACUUUCUUAGAGACACACGCUUCCUUCCCCCUGAAUGGUAGCACCCCCCCGCCAGACUUCGGAUCCUCCACUUUGCCCGCUCCGCUCCGGAUACCUAUGGCAAUAAUCAUGCUGGUGAUGAUCGCGGUUGGAUUCCUCGGCAAUGCGAUCGUCUGCCUCCUCGUGUACCAGAAGCCCGCCAUGCGCUCAGCCAUCAACCUCCUCCUGGGCACGUUGGCUUUCUCAGACAUCCUGCUCUCCUUAUUCUGCCUGCCCUUCACCGCCAUCACCCUCAUCACGGGUACCUGGAACUUUGGGGCACCCUACUGCCGCAUCUCAGCCACGCUCUUCUGGUUCUUCGUCUUGGAAGGGGUGGCCAUACUCCUGAUCAUCAGCGUGGACCGCUUCCUCAUCAUCGUCCAGCACCAAGACAGGCUCACCCCACGCCGGGCCAAGGUAUUGAUCGCCGGCUCCUGGGCCCUGUCUUUCUGCAUCUCCUUCCCCUCGCUCGCGGGCUGGGCGUUCGUGGAAGUGCCGGCCCGGGCUCCCCAGUGCGUCCUCGGGUACACAGAGCUCCCCGCCAACAGAGCCUACGCGGUGACGUUGGUGACGGCUGUGUUCUUCGUGCCCUUCGGCAUCAUGCUGUACACCUACCUGUGCAUCCUGAACACCGUGCGGAGGAAUGUGGUCCGGAUCCACCACCACCAUCCCCUAAGCCGCCACGCGCCUGACGGCCUCCACCUGGGCCCCGCCAGCCCGACCGGCCUGCGGCGGUCUCGCCGGACGGCUGUGGACGUGAGCUUCAAAACCAGGGCCUUCAUGACGAUCCUGAUCCUCUUUGUGGGGUUCUCCCUCUGCUGGCUGCCUCACACGGUGUUCAGCCUGCUGUCCGUGUUCAGCCAGAGAUUUUACUAUGGUUCUUCUUUCUACGCUACUGGCACGUACAUGCUGGGGCUCAGUUACCUCAAGUCCGUCUUCAACCCCGUGAUCUACUGUUGGAGAAUUAAAAAAUUCCGGGAGGCCUGUGUGGAGUUCCUGCCCAAUACAUUCAGAAUCUCUCCCAGGGUGCCUGGGAGGACCAAGAGGAGGAUCCACCCAAGUACCAUCUACGUGUGUGGGGAGCACCAGUCGGCCGUUUAGGAAAAGAGCCGGGGUGGAGGCGGCGAGGCAGAGGAGCCAUUUCACUCUGGUUCUCCUCAUUCCCUGAACACCUUAAGAGCGGUCUCCGCCAUGGCCGUUUACGCCCAGAGCCCUCUCUGGGCUCUCAGUUCAUCUCACUGCCCCCUGUGCCGGACCUGAGGAGCAUUGGUCUCACUGGGCUCACCCCAGAGAGGAAUCCCACUCGACCCCUGGAGGACCCUAAGAGGCCACCUGCCAAGGAGUUCUUCGCCCCUCACCCCUGGGCUGCAAGAGAUUCAGAGGUUGGAUUGUGCAUUUCUGGGUUUGGGUCACAAGGACUCACACCUAUUUGGAUGUACUUAAAAUGUAGUUCCAAAAGGGCUUAGCAUGCAGCCACAAAGCUUCACCUAGUUUUCCAGAACUUGUCAUAAAAGUGCUCUUUUAGACGUAACUUGUGGCCAUGAUUAGCCCUCAAAUAGGAAUCAAAUGAUAAAAUGAAAUAGGAAUUCAAGUAGGAAUAUUGCCCUUUUUUAAGUGGUAAUCCAAAAGUAUUCUUAAUCACUUUAUCCUCUCUCCUAGGAGAAGGCAGGAAAGGUUGGGCAAUAAACAAGAUCCAGUGGGGAUUUUAUGUUUCUUUAUAAAGAAAAGGAUUUCAUUUAGCCUCAUCUAAGCUUGUGGGACUCCGGAUAAAAAUUCUCAGUUGCUGUUUCCCCGCUCCUAGGCCCCCCUCUGGCUAUAUCCACACAAAAUGGCAGAACCCUCAGAAAGAUAGAGACCUCGCAUACUUUUACCUCUAAAAAUACCAUCCUUACUAGCAUAUCUUUACCUCUACCUACUGACCCAAAUACAUUCGGUUCAAGUCCUUUGAAUGAGUGACUGAAACAUAACUAUGUACUUCUCCAGCUCUCCCUUCUAAUCCUGCCAGUGGGCUGAGCUUAGGCAUUCUGGAAGAGCACCAGCAUUCAGAAUUGUUACUAUGUUAAGCUCUUGCUAUGUGCCAAGCACUGUACUAAGCACUGAGGUUACUAGAUCACCAGAUUGGAUACAAUCCCCAUCCCACAGAGGACUCACAGUCUAAGUACGAGGCAGUAGGAUUUAAUCCCCAUUUCACAGUGAGGGAACUGAGGCACAGAGAUGUUUAGAAUGAUGCCAAUUUCAGUGUCCUUAUUCUCUAGAGAUAGACUGCAAAAGAGAAUAGGACAUACAGGACAUUAAAAAAACAAACAGUGUCCAUGGAGAGUAAGGGAAAUUCUGUUUUUUCCAACAAGUGAUGUUCUGAGAUGUAUUGGUAAAAGACGUUCAGAGUAACACUUUUGUCUAGAAUAAAUACUUUUGUAUACAUUUUGAGUAAAGUAUUGUUGUUCUAACA
RNA transcript from Ornithorhynchus anatinus (platypus), 3074 nucleotides. It is a transcript of the gene named G protein-coupled receptor 45, with no coding region annotated. The transcript has 4 exons. The record is from RefSeq and is a predicted model, not a curated record. Lineage: Eukaryota; Metazoa; Chordata; Mammalia; Monotremata; Ornithorhynchidae.